Molecule: small nucleolar RNA, 258 nt
Organism: Ochotona curzoniae (black-lipped pika)
Lineage: Eukaryota; Metazoa; Chordata; Mammalia; Lagomorpha; Ochotonidae
Source: RefSeq, a predicted model, not a curated record
CUGGCUGAUGAGACUAAGGCGAAGGCGAAUCCUGCUCUGCCCAGGGCUCCGCGGGGGGAGGGAGGGAGGGGCCACAGAUGGGAUCUGAAAUCUUAGUGGGGGCUCCAAAGGCCCAGCUCCCCACUGUAAGGUCAGAUCCACAGCACCCACUGGCCUCCCCCACUGCUGCUGCUGGCCAGUCCCGGGCAGCAGCCUGCGGGGCAGGCCCACAGACGGAGCCUGCGCAGGAGCUGGCUGAGCGCAUCCUUGGAUCUGACA